AUACGUAGGUGGCAAGCGUUGUCCGGAAUUAUUGGGCGUAAAGCGCGCGCAGGCGGUCCUUUAAGUCUGAUGUGAAAGCCCACGGCUCAACCGUGGAGGGUCAUUGGAAACUGGGGGACUUGAGUGCAGAAGAGGAAAGUGGAAUUCCAAGUGUAGCGGUGAAAUGCGUAGAGAUUUGGAGGAACACCAGUGGCGAAGGCGACUUUCUGGUCUGUAACUGACGCUGAGGCGCGAAAGCGUGGGGAGCAAACAGGAUUAGAUACCCUGGUAGUCCACGCCGUAAACGAUGAGUGCUAAGUGUUAGGGGGUUUCCGCCCCUUAGUGCUGCAGCUAACGCAUUAAGCACUCCGCCUGGGGAGUACGUUCGCAAGAAUGAAACUCAAAGGAAUUGACGGGG
RNAcentral lists this ribosomal RNA (397 nucleotides) under uncultured bacterium. RNAcentral's name for it is "partial 16S ribosomal RNA". It matches the Rfam family "Bacterial small subunit ribosomal RNA", at positions 523 to 918 of the family's 1533-position model. The record is from RNAcentral.